AAAACGCAAGGGAAUAUAAAAUUUUGGUUAACAAAAAGAGGCAGGAAAAUAGAAAUAGAAGUACAAACAAUGGAUUGAUUAACUAAAUUAAGUCAAAAUGAUAGACUUAAUUUAACCAAAGCAAUAAUUCUAUUGAAUGUAGAUGGACCAACACUUUGUAAUAUCUGAGGUAUUUAUACUUUAAGAAAGCAACACACAGCUGUAUGCUAUCUCCAAGACAUAUUUUAAAUAUAAAGCCAAAAUUGCAAGUAAAAGAUUAUUUUAAAAGGAUGUGACAUACAAACAGUAAGUAUGGAAAGCUGGUAUAACCAUAUUUAUAUGAAAAUAGACCAAAGAGAAUGAUCAGAAUUGAACAAUAUUUUAUAAUGCUAAAAGUCAAUUUAUCAAUCUAACAGCCAUUAAUGCCUAUAUCCAUAAAAACAAACUAAAAAUACAUGAAGCAGAACUGGCAAAACUAAAGGGAGAUUAGAAUAAUCAUCAAAGAUAGUCUCUUAAAAAUUAAAAAGAAUCAGUAAGGAUACAGAAUAUAUAAACAACUGUAUCAACUCACUUGUCUAAUUGACAUUUCUAGGAUACUAUAUUCAACAACUUCAGAAAACAUAUUUUUUCAAAUACUUAUGGGAUGUUCACCAUAAUAGAACAUUUAUCAUAUGCUAGGCCAAAAGUAAGUCUUAAUAUAGUUUGAAGGAUUGAAAUAAUAAAAUAUUUAUUCUUAUCACAAAUGAAUUAAAUAAAAAUUAUGUAUCUAGAAGAGAUAUGAAUAUUUGAAAAUAAAAUAGCAGACUAGGAAAUAAACUAUUGGCCAAAGAAGAAAUUACAAAAAAGUUAGAAAAUUUUUUGAACCGCAGGUAAUGGGUACAGAACGCAUCAAAAUUAGUAGGAGCAACUAAGGCAAUAUCUUUUUUUUUUACCUUUUUUAAGAUUUUUUUUGGAGAGAGAAAGCAUGGCAAGGAAGGGCAGGGAGGAGCAUAGGGAGAGAGAAACCCAAGCAGACUCUACCCUGGGCUUGGAGCCUGAAGUGGGGCUGAAACCAAGAGUCAGAUGCUCAAAGAACUGCAACAUGAAGCACUCCAAGGAUUUUUUUUAUCUUUAAACACUUACAUUUGAGAGGAGGUCUAAAAGCAAUGAUCUCAGUUUAUAGCUUAAGAAAUGUGUAAAUAUCAGUAAGUUAAACCUAAAAUUGGUAGAAGGAAAUAACCAACAUAAAAGUAGAAAUCAAUGAAAAUUUUUGAGAACGUAAAGUUGAGAAAAUUAACAAAGCAAAAAGUUGGUUUUCUGGAAAGAUUAAUAAUAAUAAUAUUGAUAAAUCCUGUGAGAGUCAUCAACAAAAAAGGAAAAUGUAAAUUAUUGAAAAUGGGAAUGAAGAGUAAAUAUCACUAUAUUGCUCACAGACAUAAAUAUGGUAAUGUAAGAAUAUAAUAAACUUAUGUCAAUAAAUCCAAUAACAAAUAAAAUAGACAAUUGAAACAUGCAACAGUAAAUUUUUUGCAAGAAGAAAUUCUGAGUUGCAUGAUAUCUAUGAAAACUUGAGUUUAUAUUAAAACAUAAAACUUCCCAUAAAGAAAACUCCAGGCAGAUACCCUUACUAGUUAGUUUUAUCAAACAUUUCAUGAAGAAAAAAAAUCUUGCACAAACUCUUUCAGAAAAUAGAGGAGAAAUAUUUCCCAAUUUAUUUUUAGGCUACAGUAGUUCUACCAAAACUGGACAAUGGUAUUGCAAGAAUGAAGAAUUUAGAGCAAUAUAUUUUAUAGGUGGGGAAUUCUUUGAAAAUUUAUUAACAAAUAAAAUUCAGUAUUAAUCAAAUUCAUGAUCAAAUGAGUAUGUGGUUUGAUGUCUUUUUAUCAAUAUCAAAAAGUUCUCAGAAUUUACCCUUUUAAUAUUACUUUUGUCCCAUAUCCACUCUCCUCUUCUACUGAGAUAACAAAUACAUGAAGGUUAGAUCUUGAUCCUUUGUUUCUUUUUUUUUUCUCUUUGGUUUGUUCCAUCCUUUUGUCCUUCCAUGCUUUAGCCUAUCCUUUGUCCUAUCUUUCAGAUCACUAAUUCAUUCUUUAGCCAUGUGUAAUCUGCUGUUAAAUCCAUCCAUUGAAUAUUUUCUUUAAAAUCUCCAAGAUUUGGAGGUGGGGCAAGAUGGCGGAAGAGUAGGGUCCUCAAGUCACCUGUCCCCACCAAAUUACCUAGAUAACCUUCAAAUUAUCCUGAAAACCUACAAAUUCGGCUUGAGAUUUAAAGAGAGAACAGCUGGAAUACUACAGUGAGAAGAGUUCACGCUUCUACAAGGUAGGAA
RNAcentral lists this long non-coding RNA (2284 nucleotides) under Canis lupus familiaris (dog). Its description in RNAcentral is "lncRNA (ENSCAFG00845020122.1)". The record is from RNAcentral. Lineage: Eukaryota; Metazoa; Chordata; Mammalia; Carnivora; Canidae.